Molecule: ribosomal RNA, 114 nt
Filed under: Pteropus alecto (black flying fox)
Lineage: Eukaryota; Metazoa; Chordata; Mammalia; Chiroptera; Pteropodidae
Source: RNAcentral
GUCUACGGCCAUGUCACCCUGAAUGUGCCCAAUCUCAUCUGAUCUCAGAAGCAGGGACGGGCCUGGUUAGUACUUAAAUGGGAGACCACCUAGGAAGACCAGGUGUUGUAGGCG